RNAcentral lists this ribosomal RNA (1324 nucleotides) under metagenome. RNAcentral describes it as "bacterial LSU rRNA". It matches the Rfam family "Bacterial large subunit ribosomal RNA", at positions 1561 to 2925 of the family's 2925-position model. The record is from RNAcentral.
AGUGGAUGGGGAGCAACCUAGUUGUGCGUGUGUAAAGGUAGUGCCAAGAAAAGCGGUGAUCAUGAUGAAAAUCAAUUCCCGGUACCCGAAACCGACACAGGUGGGCAAGUAGAGAAUACUAAGGGGCGCGAGGUAACUCUCUCCAAGGAACUCGGCAAAAUGACCCCGUAACUUAGGGAGAAGGGGUGCCACCGAGAGGUGGUCGCAGUGAAGAGGCCCAGGCGACUGUUUAGCAAAAACAUAGGUCUCUGCAAACUCGAAAGAGGAGGUAUAGGGGCUGACGCCUGCCCAGUGCCGGAAGGUUAAAGAAGUUGGUCAGUCUUAGGAUAAAGCUAGCGACUGAAGCCCCGGUGAACGGCGGCCGUAACUAUAACGGUCCUAAGGUAGCGAAAUUCCUUGUCGGGUAAGUUCCGACCCGCACGAAAGGCGUAACGAUCUGGGCGCUGUCUCGGAGAGAGGCUCGGCGAAAUAGGAUUGUCUGUGAAGAUACGGACUACCUGCAUUUGGACAGAAAGACCCUAUGAAGCUUUACUAUAGCUUGGAAUUGUGUUCGGGCUUCCUGUGCGCAGGAUAGGUGGGAGGCGAAGAAGGUAUUCUUGUGGGGAUACUGGAGCCAACGGUGAGAUACCACUCUCAGGAGGCUAGAAUUCUAACUUAAUUAAGGACAGUUUCAGGUGGGUAGUUUGACUGGGGCGGUCGCCUCCAAAGAGGUAACGGAGGCGUACAAAGGUUCCCUCAGACUGGUUGGAAAUCAGUCGCAGAGUGCAAAGGCAGAAGGGAGCUUGACUGCGAGAAGUACAGUUCGAGCAGGGUGGAAACACGGUCUUAGUGAUCCGACGGUGCUGUGUGGAAGGGCCGUCGCUCAACGGAUAAAAGUUACUCUAGGAUAACAGGCUGAUCUCCCCCAAGAGUUCACAUCGACGGGGAGGUUUGGCACCUCGAUGUCGGCUCAUCGCAACCUGGGGCGGAAGUACGUCCCAAGGGUUGGGCUGUUCGCCCAUUAAAGCGGUACGUGAGCUGGGUUCAGAACGUCGUGAGACAGUUCGGUCCAUAUCCGAUGUAGGCGUGAGAAUAUUGAGAGGAGCCUUCCUUAGUACGAGAGGACCGGGAAGGACGCACCGCUGGUGUACCUGUUAUGAUGCCAAUUGUAAACGCAGGGUAGCCAAGUGCGGAGAGGAUAACCGCUGAAAGCAUCUAAGUGGGAAGCCCACCUCAAGAUGAGUAUUCUGGUGUAAGGUCACGGGAAGACGACCCGUAAAUAGGCACGAGGUGGAAGUGCAGAGAUGUAUGAAGCCGAAGUGUACUAAUAGACCGUCGGCUUGAC